This 1339-nucleotide unclassified non-coding RNA is filed under the name Hevea brasiliensis (rubber tree). Lineage: Eukaryota; Viridiplantae; Streptophyta; Magnoliopsida; Malpighiales; Euphorbiaceae. The record is from RNAcentral.
AAAAGCAGGUUAUAUCAUACUUUUUGAGAUCAUGAAAAAUGUGAAUCUGGAUUAGAUAGUAUACACUCUUCUUGACACAGUUAUAUACUUGUUCUAUCAUCACAGGAACAAGAGUAAACUUUUCGAAAGUUUACAAAGCACACGAGCAUUUGUGACACACUACAAGAAAAGGAGGAAAAACAGACUACAUGUUACAUGAUGUAACACAACGUAUUCAAAAAUACUGAUCCGAUUUGAUCGUCUGUUGCAGAAGGAAAGAGUUUACCAACAGCAUAACGUGUGUGUAGCAUGUAGACCCCGUGUAUUCAGAACGAUCAUAGUACCACUGCUCAUGUAAUAAAAAAUCGAAGCUCCUGAUACCUACAAAACCCCUGCCUGCAGAAAUGCAUUUUGCAUAGAUCCGCGCUGGAUGACUAGCUCAUGUCUUGUCUCUCUAUAUCUAGUGUGUCCUGAGGUUCGGGGAAAAUCUCACUCGAUGAUCUCUUACACGAUGAUGAAUGCUCGUUCCCGCUGCUAAUAGAAUGAGAUAAUCCUACUCUUCCUGACUGUUUCAGGUUCAUGCCAGCUUCUUUGCUUGUUUGGCCACUAGCAUUGAUACUAUCCUGUGAGCUAAGAUUCCAACUACCAAGAAAAGCAGCACUCCAUGAUCGCCUCGAUGAAGUAUUUCGUAGCCUUAUAGAGUUGAAACUUCCUUCCCUAACAACCUUGAACGGGUUCUCAAGAGCUUUCAAGACUCGUCUCAUUUCAGGACGUCUAGAAGGCCUCGGAUGAAGACAUGCUUUGGCUACUAUUGCUACAGACCACAUCUCUUCAAGUAAGUCGUCGUCUAUAAUUAAAGAUGGAUCGACUAUCUUUGACACUAGUUCUUUAUCGCGUAUAGUGAUGAAAGGAAGAAGCUUUUCCAACCACUCCUUCGUUGAGACAUCAUCUAAGUGACUUGCGCCUACCUUACCAGUUACAAGCUCGAGUAAGACCUUACCGAAACAGUAUACAUCAUAUGUACUGCAACUUGUAAAUGAAGUUCCAGCAGGCUCUCCCUCAGGAUUCUUUGUUGUGCGGAAAAACUUUGUGAUCAAAUUCUGGCUAUCACCUUCCUGUGCACACACGUCGCUCAAACUUCCCAGCCUUACUUCAAAUUUAUCGUCGAGAAGGAUACUGCUAGCUUGAACAUCUCUAUGAACAAGAGGAGGAUUACACUCAUGAUGCAAAUAAACUAAGCCUUCUGCAACUCCUGUUGCAAUUUUUAAUCUUGUUAUCCAAUCCAAAGACUGUUCGUUUUCGUCUUCUAAAUCCGUAUCCCGGGACAACAAAUUGAACAAAUCUCCAUUUGGCAUAUAUU